CUCUUGGGUUGUAAACUCCUUUUCUCAGGGAAGAAAAAAAUGACGGUACCUGAGGAAUCAGCAUCGGCUAACUCCGUGCCAGCAGCCGCGGUAAUACGGAGGAUGCAAGCGUUAUCCGGAAUCAUUGGGCGUAAAGCGUCCGCAGGUGGCGCUUCAAGUCUGCUGUCAAAGGUCGGGGCUUAACUCCGAACAGGCAGUGGAAACUGAAGCGCUCGAGUGCGGUAGGGGCAGAGAGAAUUCCUGGUGUAGCGGUGAAAUGCGUAGAGAUCAGGAAGAACACCGGUGGCGAAAGCGCUCUGCUAGGCCGCAACUGACACUCAGGGACGAAAGCUAGGGGAGCGAAUGGGAUUAGAUAAUCCAGUAGUCCUAGCUGUAAACGAUGGAUACUAGGCGUUGCUUGUAUCGACCCAAGCAG
RNAcentral lists this ribosomal RNA (415 nucleotides) under uncultured cyanobacterium. Its description in RNAcentral is "bacterial SSU rRNA". It matches the Rfam family "Bacterial small subunit ribosomal RNA", at positions 415 to 843 of the family's 1533-position model. The record is from RNAcentral. Lineage: Bacteria; Bacillati; Cyanobacteriota.